This 1443-nucleotide ribosomal RNA is filed under the name uncultured organism. RNAcentral's name for it is "16S ribosomal RNA". It matches the Rfam family "Bacterial small subunit ribosomal RNA". The record is from RNAcentral.
CAGGCUUAACACAUGCAAGUCGAGGGGCAGCAUGGUCUUAGCUUGCUAAGGCCGAUGGCGACCGGCGCACGGGUGAGUAACACGUAUCCAACCUGCCGUCUACUCUUGGACAGCCUUCUGAAAGGAAGAUUAAUACAAGAUGGCAUCAUGAGUCCGCAUGUUCACAUGAUUAAAGGUAUUCCGGUAGACGAUGGGGAUGCGUUCCAUUAGAUAGUAGGCGGGGUAACGGCCCACCUAGUCUUCGAUGGAUAGGGGUUCUGAGAGGAAGGUCCCCCACAUUGGAACUGAGACACGGUCCAAACUCCUACGGGAGGCAGCAGUGAGGAAUAUUGGUCAAUGGGCGAGAGCCUGAACCAGCCAAGUAGCGUGAAGGAUGACUGCCCUAUGGGUUGUAAACUUCUUUUAUAAAGGAAUAAAGUCGGGUAUGGAUACCCGUUUGCAUGUACUUUAUGAAUAAGGAUCGGCUAACUCCGUGCCAGCAGCCGCGGUAAUACGGAGGAUCCGAGCGUUAUCCGGAUUUAUUGGGUUUAAAGGGAGCGUAGAUGGAUGUUUAAGUCAGUUGUGAAAGUUUGCGGCUCAACCGUAAAAUUGCAGUUGAUACUGGAUAUCUUGAGUGCAGUUGAGGCAGGCGGAAUUCGUGGUGUAGCGGUGAAAUGCUUAGAUAUCACGAAGAACUCCGAUUGCGAAGGCAGCCUGCUAAGCUGCAACUGACAUUGAGGCUCGAAAGUGUGGGUAUCAAACAGGAUUAGAUACCCUGGUAGUCCACACGGUAAACGAUGAAUACUCGCUGUUUGCGAUAUACUGCAAGCGGCCAAGCGAAAGCGUUAAGUAUUCCACCUGGGGAGUACGCCGGCAACGGUGAAACUCAAAGGAAUUGACGGGGGCCCGCACAAGCGGAGGAACAUGUGGUUUAAUUCAAUGAUACGCGAGGAACCUUACCCGGGCUUAAAUUGCAGAUGAAUUACGGUGAAAGCCGUAAGCCGCAAGGCAUCUGUGAAGGUGCUGCAUGGUUGUCGUCAGCUCGUGCCGUGAGGUGUCGGCUUAAGUGCCAUAACGAGCGCAACCCUUGUUGUCAGUUACUAACAGGUUCCGCUGAGGACUCUGACAAGACUGCCAUCGUAAGAUGUGAGGAAGGUGGGGAUGACGUCAAAUCAGCACGGCCCUUACGUCCGGGGCUACACACGUGUUACAAUGGGGGGUACAGAGGGCCGCUACCACGCGAGUGGAUGCCAAUCCCCAAAACCUCUCUCAGUUCGGACUGGAGUCUGCAACCCGACUCCACGAAGCUGGAUUCGCUAGUAAUCGCGCAUCAGCCACGGCGCGGUGAAUACGUUCCCGGGCCUUGUACACACCGCCCGUCAAGCCAUGGGAGCCGGGGGUACCUGAAGUGCGUAACCGCGAGGAGCGCCCUAGGGUAAAACUGGUGACUGGGGCUAAGUCGUA